This 305-nucleotide ribosomal RNA is filed under the name uncultured bacterium. RNAcentral describes it as "bacterial SSU rRNA". It matches the Rfam family "Bacterial small subunit ribosomal RNA", at positions 337 to 635 of the family's 1533-position model. The record is from RNAcentral.
ACCUACGGGGGGCAGCAGUAGGGAAUUUUCGUCAAUGGGCGCAAGCCUGAACGAGCAAUGCCGCGUGAACGAGGAAGGUCUUCGGAUCAUAAAGUUCUGUUGAAGGGGAAAAAGAGCGGAGAGAGGAAAUGGUCUCCGAUUGAUAUUACCCUUCGAGGAAGUCACGGCUAACUACGUGCCAGCAGCCGCGGUAAUACGUAGGUGGCGAGCGUUAUCCGGAAUGAUUGGGCGUAAAGGGUGCGUAGGCGGCCUGCUAAGUCUGGAGUGAAAGGUACCGGCUCAACCGGUACAGGCUCUGGAAACUG